RNAcentral lists this ribosomal RNA (760 nucleotides) under uncultured archaeon. RNAcentral describes it as "partial 16S ribosomal RNA". The record is from RNAcentral.
CGUGACUCCAAUUGAACCGCAGGCUUCCCCCUUGUGGUGCUCCCCCGCCAAUUCCUUUAAUUUCAUACUUGCGUACGUGCUUCCCAGGCGGCAGACGUAACGGCUUCCCUGCGGCACUGCAUUGGCCACAAGCCAAUGCAUCACCGAGUCUGCAUCGUUUACAGCUGGGACUACCCGGGUAUCUAAUCCGGUUUGCUCCCCCAGCUUUCAUCCCUCACCGUCGAACGUGUUCUGGUACACCGCCUUCGCCACAGGUGGUCUUCAAUAGAUCAAAGGAUUUUACCCNCUUCCUAUCGGGUACCGUGUACCUCUCCCACUCCCUAGCUGCACAGUAUUUUCGGCGGCCUAUACGUUAAGCGCAUAGAUUUAACCGAAAACUUAUGCAACCGGCUACGGAUGCUUUAGGCCCAAUAAACCUCCUGACCACUCGAGGUGCUGGUUUUACCGCGGCGGCUGACACCAGAACUUGCCCACCCCUUAUUCACCAGUGAUUCUACAACUGACAAAAGACUCCUUUAGCAGGAGACACUCGGAUUAACCUUGUCGUGCUUUCGCACAUUGCAAAGGUUUCUCGCCUGCUGCGCCCCAUAGGGCCUGGGUCCGUGUCUCAGUACCCAUCUUCGGUGCCCUCCUCUCAAAGCCCGUACCUGUAUAGCCUGGUUGGGCAUUACUCACCAAAAAGUGAUAGGCGGAGCUAUCCUACGGAAAAACUUCACCAGGCCUCCGGCCGGGCCCCUGGUUUUCCGCUCCGGGUUCCCCC